RNAcentral lists this ribosomal RNA (492 nucleotides) under uncultured bacterium. RNAcentral describes it as "partial 16S ribosomal RNA". It matches the Rfam family "Bacterial small subunit ribosomal RNA", at positions 29 to 507 of the family's 1533-position model. The record is from RNAcentral.
AGUGAACGCUGGCGGUAGGCCUAACACAUGCAAGUCGAACGGCAGCACAGUAAGAGCUUGCUCUUACGGGUGGCGAGUGGCGGACGGGUGAGGAAUACAUCGGAAUCUACUUUUUCGUGGGGGAUAACGUAGGGAAACUUACGCUAAUACCGCAUACGACCUACGGGUGAAAGCAGGGGAUCUUCGGACCUUGCGCGAUUGAAUGAGCCGAUGUCGGAUUAGCUAGUUGGCGGGGUAAAGGCCCACCAAGGCGACGAUCCGUAGCUGGUCUGAGGGGAUGAUCAGCCACACUGGAACUGAGACACGGUCCAGACUCCUACGGGAGGCAGCAGUGGGGAAUAUUGGACAAUGGGCGCAAGCCUGAUCCAGCCACACCGCGUGGGUGAAGAAGGCCUUCGGGUUGUAAAGCCCUUUUGUUGGGAAAGAAAAGCAGCAGGUUAAUACCCCGCUGUUCUGACGGUACCCAAAGAAUAAGCACCGGCUAACUUCGUG